Molecule: small RNA, 243 nt
Filed under: Arthrobacter sp. 9V
Lineage: Bacteria; Bacillati; Actinomycetota; Actinomycetes; Micrococcales; Micrococcaceae
Description: ydaO-yuaA
Rfam family: c-di-AMP riboswitch aptamer (ydaO/yuaA leader)
About the family: This family represents a conserved RNA structure found upstream of the ydaO and yuaA genes in Bacillus subtilis and related genes in other bacteria.
Source: RNAcentral
CCUGAUCCGGAGCCGAGCUCUGCCAGCGGAUCAGGUGUGUCACCCACCACUGGCAGAGGCGGGGGAACCACAAGCGGCUGUCUAAAGAAGCAGCCUUGGGGUGAAGUCCGCAGCAGAAGUGCCCACGUAUACAAGUCCCUCUUGGGAUACCUGUGUGCCGUGAGCGCCUCGUGCGGACCGGGUCGUUUGUACUCUCUGACCCGAAUCCGACAGCUAACUUCGCAGGCUUUUGAGAGAGGAACA